AAAGUGGGCUUUCAACCUGAGGAUGAUUCUUCAAUGAGUAUUUCUCCUUCAUUUGCAACCAUGGUGUCUUUGAAUGAAUUAUUCUGUUUCUCCAGAAAAUUGUCUCAAGUCAUCAACUCAUAUUAACUGUCAGGACUUCCUUGCCUUCUCCUUGCAAAUGUUAUGUGAAAUCUGAGGAAGAGUACUUUGAAAAAUAUUAAAUUGGGUUAUUCUCCCUUAUAAAUGAGAACCUUCAUGCUGUGUUCUAGAUCUGUCUGGAACAUGCCUCUGAAUCCUAAGACAGGUCAGUCCCACAAGUAGCACUCUAUAUUUCCUACCUGGCACUUAUCAUAUUUUGUACUUGUUUGUUUGUGUGAUUGGUUGAUUAAUGUAAGAUUAUAAACUUCAGGAGUGAAAAAAAAAAGUUUGUUUUGCUUAUUUUCUAUAAGCUUAUUUCCUAGCACUGCGUCUAGAAUAGAGUGGUAAGUCAGUAAAUAUUGUUUGAAUUAAAGGAUGUCCAUUUCUCAGACAGUCUUAAACUUAGAGGAAAGGCAGGGAGUGUCUUCAUGAUGCCUUAAAUAAACACAGUUGUAUCAUUAGUAGAAUGCAAAAAUCGCACAAGUAAAAGGGAAAGAGGAAGAAAAGAAGAAAAGGGAGGUAGUUUUGCAACUUGGAGCAAGGCAUCCGUUAGGCUGCCACCUUCCCAUAGAGACUGGGAGAUAGGGGCCCUCUCUUCCUAAGACUACAUUUCAAAGACAUGGCUCAUAGCUCCUUGAGAAAGACUAUCUUGUGUUGUAAAACUGGGAAGAGGCUUUAAAAAGAUUUACAUUUCAAAGUGAAAGGGAAAAAAUUUACAAUGACAGGUUUUCUAAAGUAAAGGCUCUAAAAAAAGGAGGUUGGGGCCUAGUGCCAGAAAGAAGCCUGCCUAAAACUUAGUUAAGGGGAGAGGAAUAUUAAGUCUGUCUUUGUCACCUGCAAAGAGCAAUCUCUUCACACUGGAUGAGCUAUUCUAGGCUUAAAAAGUAUUUCCCUGCUUUAAGUCCCUACCCCACAGGAUCUCUGCUCAUGGUUAAAGAAAAGAAGUUGGGGCUGGGCGCAGUGGCUCACGCCUGUAAUCCCAGCAAUUUGGGAGGCUGAGGUGGGCGGAUCACGAGGUCAGGAGAUCAAGAUCAUCCUGGCUAACACGGUGAAACCCUAUCUCUACUAAAAAUACAAAAAAAAUUAGCCAGGUGUGGUGGCGGGUACCUGUAGUCCCAGCUACUCAGGAGGCUGAAGUAGAAGAAUGGUGUGAACCCGGGAGGCGGAGCUUACAGUGAGCCGAGAUUGCGCCACUGCACUCCAGCCUGGGGCACAGAGCGAGACUCCGUCUCAAAAAAAAAAAAAAAAAAAAAAAAAAAAAAAGAAAAAAAAGAAAAGAGAAGAAAAAAAAAGA
Molecule: long non-coding RNA, 1411 nt
Organism: Symphalangus syndactylus (siamang)
Lineage: Eukaryota; Metazoa; Chordata; Mammalia; Primates; Hylobatidae
Source: RefSeq, a predicted model, not a curated record